Non-coding RNA from Papio anubis (olive baboon), 45 nucleotides. The record is from Rfam. Lineage: Eukaryota; Metazoa; Chordata; Mammalia; Primates; Cercopithecidae.
CCAAAGGCUCUUUUCAGGGCCAUCAUCUUUCCUGACAGGUAGUGG